RNAcentral lists this long non-coding RNA (206 nucleotides) under Apteryx owenii (little spotted kiwi). Its description in RNAcentral is "lncRNA (ENSAOWG00000018822.1)". The record is from RNAcentral. Lineage: Eukaryota; Metazoa; Chordata; Aves; Apterygiformes; Apterygidae.
AUCUGGACUCUCCUGAUCGCAGUCUCGCUUAAUAUGAAGGGAGGUUGAGCUCCCUGCAGCACAACGGCCCCCGCAGAGGUGCGCCAGAAGUAACCCGCAGACUGGCAAGAUGUGGCAGUGUCUGUUACGGCUGUUGUCUUCGGCUUCUCGUUCCAGGCGAAAUAAAUCUGUGUGAUGAGGAUGCUGUGCUUGGCAUGCAGCGCUGA